This 301-nucleotide ribosomal RNA is filed under the name uncultured bacterium. RNAcentral describes it as "partial 16S ribosomal RNA". It matches the Rfam family "Bacterial small subunit ribosomal RNA", at positions 509 to 807 of the family's 1533-position model. The record is from RNAcentral.
CAGUAGCCGCGGUAAUACGUAGGGUGCAAGCGUUAAUCGGAAUUACUGGGCGUAAAGCGUGCGCAGGCGGCUAUGCAAGACAGAUGUGAAAUCCCCGGGCUCAACCUGGGAACUGCAUUUGUGACUGGCAAGCUAGAGUAUGGCGGAGGGGGGUGGAAUUCCGCGUGUAGCAGUGAAAUGCGUAGAUAUGCGGAGGAACACCGAUGGCGAAGGCGACUAUCUGGGCCAACACUGACACUGAGGCACGAAAGCGUGGGGAGCAAACAGGAUUAGAUACCCCUGUAGUCCCUGUCUCUUAUAC